This 1029-nucleotide long non-coding RNA is filed under the name Homo sapiens (human). Its description in RNAcentral is "HSALNT0328136". Lineage: Eukaryota; Metazoa; Chordata; Mammalia; Primates; Hominidae. The record is from RNAcentral.
AUUAGCAUUUCUAGCAACAAUGUAUUUUUAAAUUAAGAUAUUUGAUGUGAUUCACCAGUACAGCCAUAUGAAGAUGAUAUUUUGAUUUUAGGAAUGUUUCAUUACAAAUGCAAUUCCUUCAACAGAGGCUUUUUCACUCCUCAGAAGAAAAAGUGGACACUAUAUGCCCCAAUGCAGCCGCAUUCCUGCUGGUCCCCAAAAGUAUAGUCACAAAAUUAAACAGGGUUUGCCCCGUGGACUUGUGGUUCCCUCUGCUGCUCUUCCCUGACUACCUGCUAAUCCUACUUAUCAGUUAAGUAUCAACUUCCUCCACGGUGUGGAGAUGCUUCUCUGGCCUCCCCACCACCCCAUACUGGGUUAGGUAACCCAAUACUAUACCCUGCACAAUCCCUGUUCACAGUCCUUAUUAUGCUCUACCCUAAUGUCACAUCAUCAUCCAUCAACUUCUCUAAGCAAGAAAACUGGAUUUCUGCAAUGUCGUAGCCCAGCAUGGUGCCCUGCAAAUAGCAAGUUUUUCAUAAAUAGUUGUUGGGUAGAUGAGUGAAUAUAUGAACUCCAGAAAAGCCUGUAUUGCCUGGGGCCUAGAAAACAAGGGCAGGAAAAACCAGAUUCCCUACAGGAACAGCUUCUAUGAAUUAAAAGCUCACUCUUAACUAAGAAAUGGGUCGAAAUGUAUCAUCUAUGCCAUUAAUACAUCUUUCCAGAAAUUUUGAAAUACUUAAAUUGGGAUGCUUUCUUUGCAAGCUGCUCCUAUGACUCAGAUCCCAAGUAAGUGAGGGUAUGAAGGUAUGUAAUCAGAUUUUAUAGGCUGGGCCUAAAAACACCUAUAGUUGGAAGGGAUGAAAGGCAUGUUAUAGGAAAGGCAACAAAAGCUGAAUUCUGUGUGUAUGUAUGUAUGCGUGUGCAUGUUUAAAGCCCCCGGGAAUGUAUGUAAAAGCAUGCCAAAUUUUACUACUUUAUUGGGUUAAAAUAAUUUUAAUUUUAGUACACAAGGAAAUGUCUAUGUAGAAAAAUUAAAUUUUCCUUUUU